AUUUGGUUUUUUCAUAUGGAAUGACACUUUUUUCCGAUUAUUGUAUUUUUAGUCUCACGUACUGGCUGCGUGGAUAAUCUGUCUUUCUUUUUUUCCACUUUCGGUACUGAUUUAUAUUUUUUACUCGAUGAGCGACUACUAUACAAACAAUAAAUUGUUUGCAAUAUUGUUUAUACCAAACAAUAUUCUCUAUCGGUGUGGCAUCUACGAUCUUUGGUAUGUCUCAAGGGCAUGGAGGUAUUUUUAAAAAAUUGUUUGAAAAUCGUCGUUACCAGCUCAUGGCUAAUUUAUCUUACAAUGCUUACGUUGUACACUAUACAAUUGCCAUGUUAAGUGCUGGUUUAAAGAUGCAGCCUUCAUACACCUCCGCUUACAUUAUGUGUUGUGAUAUACUGACCACAAUAGUGCUUUCCUUUUUGGUGUCAAUAGUUCUGACUCUGUUUGUACAAAUGCCUCUUACCAUUUUGUCGAAAAAGAUGAUGUUUAUGGUAAAAUAGUCAUAAUAAAUAUGUAGUUGCAUGAGCAGUAGCACCAUCCUGUUGAAACUAUCCUGUCACGAAAUUUUUAAUAUCAUGGAGACUUAAAGGAGAAGGAAGGAACGUGUAAAAGGGCGACGAAACUCUCACCCACCUUA
Zophobas morio is the source of this 634-nucleotide long non-coding RNA. RefSeq lists it as uncharacterized. The record is from RefSeq and is a predicted model, not a curated record. The transcript has 3 exons. NCBI's taxonomy places the organism in Eukaryota, Metazoa, Arthropoda, Insecta, Coleoptera, Tenebrionidae.